RNAcentral lists this ribosomal RNA (497 nucleotides) under uncultured bacterium. RNAcentral's name for it is "partial 16S ribosomal RNA". It matches the Rfam family "Bacterial small subunit ribosomal RNA", at positions 28 to 507 of the family's 1533-position model. The record is from RNAcentral.
GACGAACGCUGGCGGCGUGCCUAAUACAUGCAAGUAGAACGCUGAAGAGAGGAGCUUGCUCUUCUUGGAUGAGUUGCGAACGGGUGAGUAACGCGUAGGUAACCUGCCUUGUAGCGGGGGAUAACUAUUGGAAACGAUAGCUAAUACCGCAUAACAAUGGAUGACACAUGUCAUUUAUUUGAAAGGGGCAAUUGCUCCACUACAAGAUGGACCUGCGUUGUAUUAGCUAGUAGGUGAGGUAAUGGCUCACCUAGGCGACGAUACAUAGCCGACCUGAGAGGGUGAUCGGCCACACUGGGACUGAGACACGGCCCAGACUCCUACGGGAGGCAGCAGUAGGGAAUCUUCGGCAAUGGGGGCAACCCUGACCGAGCAACGCCGCGUGAGUGAAGAAGGUUUUCGGAUUGUAAAGCUCUGUUGUAAGUCAAGAACGGGUGUGAGAGUGGAAAGUUCACACUGUGACGGUAGCUUACCAGAAAGGGACGGCUAACUACGUG